RNAcentral lists this ribosomal RNA (522 nucleotides) under Nakazawaea ernobii. RNAcentral describes it as "eukaryotic LSU rRNA". It matches the Rfam family "Eukaryotic large subunit ribosomal RNA", at positions 109 to 637 of the family's 3401-position model. Lineage: Eukaryota; Fungi; Ascomycota; Pichiomycetes; Alaninales; Pachysolenaceae. The record is from RNAcentral.
UCACUCAGCUUUGACAAUCUAGGCACCUUUCACCUGUUCGAGUUGUAAUUUGAAGAAGGUAUCUUUGGAGUUGGCCCCCGUCUAUGUUCCUUGGAACAGGACGUCACAGAGGGUGAGAAUCCCGUGCGAUGGGGAGACCAAUUCUAUGUAAAGUUCCUUCGAAGAGUCGAGUUGUUUGGGAAUGCAGCUCUAAGUGGGUGGUAAAUUCCAUCUAAAGCUAAAUAUUGGCGAGAGACCGAUAGCGAACAAGUACAGUGAUGGAAAGAUGAAAAGAACUUUGAAAAGAGAGUGAAAGAGUACGUGAAAUUGUUGAAAGGGAAGGGCUUUUGAUCAGACUUGGUGUUUAGUACUCUCUACUCAUUGUGGGUGGGGCUCUUGCAUCAUAGUGGGCCAUCAUCGGAUGGAUGGAAUGAAAUACAUGGAUAGUAGUUAAAUAAAGAAGAGUAACCGACACGAUACUGUUCGAAUCAAGAAGGAAGAUUAGUCAUAUGCUAUGGAAGUCGAAAGGGCUGAAAAAAAUGU